UAGAGUUUGGAUCCUGGCUCAGAUUGAACGCUGGCGGCAGGCCUAACACAUGCAAGUCGAGCGGAAACGAGUUAUCUGAACCUUCGGGGAACGAUAACGGCGUCGAGCGGCGGACGGGUGAGUAAUGCCUGGGAAAUUGCCCUGAUGUGGGGGAUAACCAUUGGAAACGAUGGCUAAUACCGCAUAAUAGCUUCGGCUCAAAGAGGGGGACCUUCGGGCCUCUCGCGUCAGGAUAUGCCCAGGUGGGAUUAGCUAGUUGGUGAGGUAAGGGCUCACCAAGGCGACGAUCCCUAGCUGGUCUGAGAGGAUGAUCAGCCACACUGGAACUGAGACACGGUCCAGACUCCUACGGGAGGCAGCAGUGGGGAAUAUUGCACAAUGGGCGCAAGCCUGAUGCAGCCAUGCCGCGUGUAUGAAGAAGGCCUUCGGGUUGUAAAGUACUUUCAGCAGUGAGGAAGGUGGUGUACUUAAUA
This 473-nucleotide ribosomal RNA is filed under the name Vibrio sp. EF2B-B978. RNAcentral describes it as "bacterial SSU rRNA". It matches the Rfam family "Bacterial small subunit ribosomal RNA", at positions 1 to 465 of the family's 1533-position model. The record is from RNAcentral. Lineage: Bacteria; Pseudomonadati; Pseudomonadota; Gammaproteobacteria; Vibrionales; Vibrionaceae.